GGCCCUUUAUCUUCAUGAUUUAUAAUGUAAAUCAUUGAUUUUCGGUUGUUCUUGUAGGAACUCAUAAUCGCUUGGUCGUUGGUUCAAACCCAACAGGGGCCACCA
Molecule: transfer RNA, 105 nt
Filed under: Klebsiella pneumoniae
Lineage: Bacteria; Pseudomonadati; Pseudomonadota; Gammaproteobacteria; Enterobacterales; Enterobacteriaceae
Description: tRNA-OTHER
Source: RNAcentral